This 241-nucleotide ribosomal RNA is filed under the name uncultured Staphylococcus sp. RNAcentral's name for it is "partial 16S ribosomal RNA". It matches the Rfam family "Bacterial small subunit ribosomal RNA", at positions 99 to 334 of the family's 1533-position model. Lineage: Bacteria; Bacillati; Bacillota; Bacilli; Caryophanales; Staphylococcaceae. The record is from RNAcentral.
CGGACGGGUGAGUAACACGUGGAUAACCUACCUAUAAGACUGGGAUAACUUCGGGAAACCGGAGCUAAUACCGGAUAAUAUAUUGAACCGCAUGGUUCAAUAGUGAAAGACGGUUUUGCUGUCACUUAUAGAUGGAUCCGCGUCGCAUUAGCUAGUUGGUAAGGUAACGGCUUACCAAGGCAACGAUGCGUAGCCGACCUGAGAGGGUGAUCGGCCACACUGGAACUGAGACACGAUCCAG